RNAcentral lists this ribosomal RNA (492 nucleotides) under uncultured bacterium. RNAcentral describes it as "partial 16S ribosomal RNA". It matches the Rfam family "Bacterial small subunit ribosomal RNA", at positions 28 to 523 of the family's 1533-position model. The record is from RNAcentral.
GAUGAACGCUAGCGGAAGGCUUAAUACAUGCAAGUCGAGCGGUAGUCCCUUUCGGGGGAUGAGAGCGGCGCACGGGUGAGUAACGCGUACAUGACCUGCCUAUCAGAAGGGGAUAGCCCUGGGAAACUGGGAUUAAUACCCUAUGGCAUUGUAUUUUUAAAUGGAUACAAUUAAAGCUGAGGCGCUGAUAGAUGGAUGUGCGUCUGAUUAGCUAGUUGGUGGGGUAAAGGCCCACCAAGGCGACGAUCAGUAGGGGGCGUGAGAGCGUGGUCCCCCACACGGGUACUGAGACACGGACCCGACUCCUACGGGAGGCAGCAGUAAGGAAUAUUGGUCAAUGCCCGCAAGGGUGAACCAGCCAUUCCGCGUGGAGGAUGAAGGCCCUAUGGGUUGUAAACUUCUUUUAGAUGGGAAGAAAAUGCUUUGUUUAUAAGGUACUGACGGUACCAUCAGAAUAAGCACCGGCUAACUCCGUGCCAGCAGCCGCAGUAA